UAAAUAUUAAAGAAAUUUAGAUUUAAUUAUUAAUUUAAGUAUAAACUAAAUAUGUGCCAGCAGUUGCGGUUAAACAUAAUAUACAAAUAAAAUAGUUUGGUUAUUAGUAUUUAAAUAUAAUUUAUAAUUUAAUUUUUUUUAAAAAAGUAAAAUUUAAUUAAAUAUUAUUGUUAUAAUUAUUUUAUUCUAUUAAAUUUUAUUUAAAACUAGGAUUAGAUACCCUAUUAUAAAAAUUUAAAUUGAUUUACUUAAAAAUUAAUAGUUAAGUUCUUUAAAUUUAAAAAAUUUGGCGGUAUUUUAGUCUUAUUAGAGGAACCUGUUUAUUAAUUGAUAAUCCACGAUUAAUUUUACUUAUUUUAAUUAAUUCAUAUAUCGCUGUCAUGAAUAUAUUUAAAAAUUUAUUUUCUUUUUUUAUUUUUAUAAUUUAUGUUAAGUCAAGAUGUGGUUUAUAAAUAAGAAUAUAAUGGGUUACAAUAAAUUUUAUUUUUGGAUUUAAAAUGAAAAUUAGAAUGAAAUUGGAUUUAAUAGUAAGUUUAUUUAUUUAAUUAAUAUGAAUAGAGAUCUAAAAUAUGUACAUAUUGCCCGUCAUUCUUAUUAAAAAUAAGACAAGUCGUAACAAAGUAAGUGUACUGGAAAGUGUAUUUAGAAAG
This 650-nucleotide ribosomal RNA is filed under the name Aphis solanella. Its description in RNAcentral is "12S ribosomal RNA". The record is from RNAcentral. Lineage: Eukaryota; Metazoa; Arthropoda; Insecta; Hemiptera; Aphididae.